This 449-nucleotide ribosomal RNA is filed under the name uncultured bacterium. RNAcentral's name for it is "partial 16S ribosomal RNA". It matches the Rfam family "Bacterial small subunit ribosomal RNA", at positions 29 to 523 of the family's 1533-position model. The record is from RNAcentral.
AGCGAACGCUGGCGGCAGGCCUAACACAUGCAAGUAGAACGAAGUCUUCGGACGUAGUGGCGGACGGGUGAGUAAGACGGGGGAACGUGGAUGUAGGUUCGGAAUAACUUAGGGAAAAUUGUGGUAAUCCCGAAUGAGCCCUCCGGGGGAAAGAUUUAUAGCAUUGUGAGCGGCCCGCGUCUGAUUAGCGAGUUUGUGAGGUAAAGGCUGACCAAGGCGCCGAUCAGUAGCUGGUCUGAGAGGAUCAUCAGCCACAUUGGGACUGAGACACGGCCCAAACUCCUACGGGAGGAAGCAGUUUGUAAUCUUGCGCAAUGGGCGAAAGCCUGACGCAGCCAUGCCGCGUGAAUGAUGAAGGUCUUAGGAUUGUAAAAUUCUUUCACCGGGGACGAUAAUGACGGUACCCGGAGAAGAAGCCCCGGCUAACUUCGUGCCAGCCGCCGCGGUAA